CUCCUGCAGUGAGAGAGAUGUACCUCGUGCCAGAGGAUAUGCUCGUGAGAGGGGUAAGGUUUAUUACU
This is a non-coding RNA of Chelonoidis abingdonii (Abingdon island giant tortoise), 68 nucleotides long. NCBI's taxonomy places the organism in Eukaryota, Metazoa, Chordata, Testudines, Testudinidae. The record is from RefSeq and is a predicted model, not a curated record.